This is a long non-coding RNA of Rhineura floridana, 449 nucleotides long. RefSeq lists it as uncharacterized. The record is from RefSeq and is a predicted model, not a curated record. The transcript is spliced from 4 exons. Lineage: Eukaryota; Metazoa; Chordata; Lepidosauria; Squamata; Rhineuridae.
AUAAUGUUCUAACUAAAUGUCCACGAGGGCAGCAGUGUUCAAGCACAUCUAUUUUUCCCUUGUCCUCUCAGUCUGAGGGGUGUCUUUAUCUGAGUUGUUAACUCUGCCUAUGCAUGAGGAACAGUUAGGAGAGAUUAAAUCUACAGAUGAUGCAUGCAGCAGUUUUAGGAGGAUAACAACUAUGAUGUUUGCUGAUGGAAGAACAAACUGAGGUCGUCUUUUAACAGUCUUGUUGUUUGGAAGUCUUCUGGCUAAAAAAUUACAGUUGCAGACAUCUAGUGAGAUGGAUGAACUUGCUCACAAUUUAACUGAUCACAUCCUGAGUGCAAAAUCAGAAUGGAUUUUGGAAAAUGGUGGUUGGGAACAUGCCAUUGCUGAGAGACCUCUCUACCAUGUGAUGACCAGAAUUAUGGACUUAUUCAUCAAAUACCAUCCUAAGUUGUGGUUAA